This 450-nucleotide ribosomal RNA is filed under the name uncultured bacterium. RNAcentral's name for it is "bacterial SSU rRNA". It matches the Rfam family "Bacterial small subunit ribosomal RNA", at positions 340 to 784 of the family's 1533-position model. The record is from RNAcentral.
UACGGAAGGCAGCAGUGGGGAAUAUUGCACAAUGGGCGCAAGCCUGAUGCAGCCAUGCCGCGUGUAUGAAGAAGGCCUUCGGGUUGUAAAGUACUUUCAGUCGUGAGGAAGGUGUUAAGGUUAAUAACCUUAGCAAUUGACGUUAGCGACAGAAGAAGCACCGGCUAACUCCGUGCCAGCAGCCGCGGUAAUACGGAGGGUGCGAGCGUUAAUCGGAAUUACUGGGCGUAAAGGGCACGCAGGCGGUUAAUUAAGUUGGAUGUGAAAUCCCCGGGCUUAACCUGGGAAUGGCAUUCAAGACUGGUUAGCUAGAGUCUUGUAGAGGGGGUAGAAUUCCAUGUGUAGCGGUGAAAUGCGUAGAGAUGUGGAGGAAUACCGGUGGCGAAGGCGGCCCCUGGACAAAGACUGACGCUCAUGUGCGAAAGCGUGGGGAGCAAACGAGAUUAGACU